CCCUCUAAUCAAUAAUUUUGGCUUGUCCAU
RNAcentral lists this ribosomal RNA (30 nucleotides) under Mucor circinelloides. RNAcentral describes it as "partial 18S ribosomal RNA". Lineage: Eukaryota; Fungi; Mucoromycota; Mucoromycetes; Mucorales; Mucoraceae. The record is from RNAcentral.